This is a long non-coding RNA of Rosa rugosa (rugosa rose), 1728 nucleotides long. RefSeq lists it as uncharacterized. The record is from RefSeq and is a predicted model, not a curated record. The transcript has 8 exons. NCBI's taxonomy places the organism in Eukaryota, Viridiplantae, Streptophyta, Magnoliopsida, Rosales, Rosaceae.
CUUGCAUAUGGGAUUUAUGUGUUUUGAUUAGUUCUCAGCAAAACUGUUGGUCCGUCGAUGUUGGUCCCAGAUUGCAAUUCCGUGCUUCCCAUGAUCUCAAGGCACAACAAGGAGAGGCAACUAUGGUUGCGAAGCUUGCUGACCCUGGAUAUGCAUUUCAACUCUCUUCUUCUUUCCAUUCUGCUGGUUUGGUGAGUCAAAUAUAGCAUUUUUGGACACACUAGCUUUCAACUGUCAUCUGCGACCUGCCAUUCCAUUUAGACAUGCUUUCUUUGUUUGUUUAAAUUCUUAGCAAGCAACUCGAACUAGAUGCAGUAAAGACUCUGAGGCUAAGAUUGGUUGAGGAUGUAUCUCUUGGAGGUCUACUGCUCUGAGGUUGUUCCAGUAUGCAUAUGUAUAUGUACAUAUAGUGACAAAUAGAAAAGUAGCCAACUUUAAGUAGUUCACUAUCUUUCUGUUGCAGCUACCAAAAUGAUCAUAGUAAGUUUUAUUCCCUUAAGUAUUUUUCUGGUGCUUGAAGCCAAAAGCUACCCUUAAAUUCCCCCUUGGUGAUGUUACUUUGGAGGAAAAAGAAGAGGAGGAGACGAACAAAAUGUUGUCUAUAAAUGGCAUUGUUAAAGGCCAACUUUUGAACUGGCUCUGCACUGCUCACUAUGUGGAUGAUGAGUUGAAGUAACAAUACUCAUUCAAGGAUGAGUUGUCGUCUUUUAUCCCAUUUAUUUCGCUGCCUUCAAAUGCAUUGUCAUUUGCUUUUAAGCGUCGCUUCGAUCCUUCAGACAAGUUGAGGUUCUAUGGUGGCUACGUUCAUCUGCCCUUUGGAUGUCAUCAAGACCAGGUUACAGGUCCACGGCAUGCUUACCGGUCAAAGAGAGGAUGGUGGCAAACUCUCAAUUGGUGAAAAUAUGAUAGAUGCUGUUGGGACUGCCACAGCCAUUUCAACAAAUCCAUUGUGGGUUGUUAAGACAAGACUGCAAGCUGCAUGCUCAUUCUACGGUUAAUUGUUGAAUAACUUAAUGGAGUUGUCUGUGGCCCAGAUCUACCUUCCAAAUACAUACGAGACAGUGCAUUUGAACCGCAAUGUUGGGCUGCUCCAGGGAUACAUAUGAUACCAGCUUCUACCUAGGAUUUCCACUUUUGUAAUAUGCAAGUAUAAUUGUAGGUUAUUUCAGGUGUCUUGGACAUUCUAAUCUUCAGAUUCCUCCAUUUGUUUAGAUAGAUCUUUUUCAGAUCAUUCUAGCUCAAGCAUAUAUUGAGUAUAGGUUAUCUAAAUUCAUGCUUAUUUAAAUAGUUUGGCAUAGUGGGUGAUGACAGAUGGUUGUUUCUUUCCUAAAAGUCAUUCGUUGUUUCUUUCCAUUUUGUGAAUGUACAGAUGGUUUCAACAAUGAAGAAGUCGAUCUUUGAUGAACAAACUAACAAGGCCUUAAGGAAAUUGCAAAAGAAUGCUCAAAAGAAGAGAAGGCAUCAUGAUGUGGUUCGAGCUGAAUGGGCAAAUCAUGUUAUACAGUUCUAACUUUGGUUCUGUUUCAGGUAGAUGAGUAGCACUUGGAACUGCUUUUGUGCAUUUAUAUACAACUGAUGGAAAGAGUUGAUGAACUUAAAUUAUGCAUGCAGUUGCUCUGUCUAGCUACUCUUUCUUUACCUUAUAGGUUUUUGACUUGGUGCAAUUAAAUGAUCGAGAUAAGAUGGUUUUUUGGUUCUCUCGAUCAUAAUGUAACUGUUGGCUAGGUU